RNAcentral lists this ribosomal RNA (253 nucleotides) under uncultured bacterium. RNAcentral describes it as "partial 16S ribosomal RNA". It matches the Rfam family "Bacterial small subunit ribosomal RNA", at positions 524 to 776 of the family's 1533-position model. The record is from RNAcentral.
UACGGAGGGUGCAAGCGUUGUUCGGAAUUACUGGGCGUAAAGCGCGUGUAGGCGGCCUUUUAAGUCUGAUGUGAAAGCCCGAGGCUCACCCUCGGAAGUGCAUUGGAUACUGGGAGGCUGGAGUACCGGAGAGGAGGGUGGAAUUCCUGGUGUAGCGGUGAAAUGCGUAGAUAUCAGGAGGAACACCAGUGGCGAAGGCGGCCCUCUGGACGGAUACUGACGCUGAGACGCGACAGCGUGGGGAGCAAACAGG